Molecule: ribosomal RNA, 562 nt
Filed under: uncultured bacterium
Lineage: Bacteria
Description: bacterial SSU rRNA
Rfam family: Bacterial small subunit ribosomal RNA
Source: RNAcentral
CCUACGGGAGGCAGCAGUGGGGAAUUUUGGACAAUGGGCGAAAGCCUGAUCCAGCAAUGCCGCGUGUGUGAAGAAGGCCUUCGGGUUGUAAAGCACUUUUGUCCGGAAAGAAAUCCUUGGCUCUAAUACAGUCGGGGGAUGACGGUACCGGAAGAAUAAGCACCGGCUAACUACGUGCCAGCAGCCGCGGUAAUACGUAGGGUGCGAGCGUUAAUCGGAAUUACUGGGCGUAAAGCGUGCGCAGGCGGUUUGCUAAGACCGAUGUGAAAUCCCCGGGCUCAACCUGGGAACUGCAUUGGUGACUGGCAGGCUAGAGUAUGGCAGAGGGGGGUAGAAUUCCACGUGUAGCAGUGAAAUGCGUAGAGAUGUGGAGGAAUACCGAUGGCGAAGGCAGCCCCCUGGGCCAAUACUGACGCUCAUGCACGAAAGCGUGGGGAGCAAACAGGAUUAGAUACCCUGGUAGUCCACGCCCUAAACGAUGUCANCUAGUUGUUGGGGAUUCAUUUCCUUAGUAACGUAGCUAACGCGUGAAGNUGACCGCCUGGGGAGUACGGUCGCAAGA